This 508-nucleotide ribosomal RNA is filed under the name uncultured bacterium. RNAcentral's name for it is "bacterial SSU rRNA". It matches the Rfam family "Bacterial small subunit ribosomal RNA", at positions 1 to 513 of the family's 1533-position model. The record is from RNAcentral.
UAGAGUUUGAUCAUGGCUCAGGAUGAACGCUAGCGGCAGGCUUAAUACAUGCAAGUCGAACGGUAAGGUUUCUUCGGAGACACACGAGUGGCGCACGGGUGCGUAACGCGUAUGCAACCUACCUUUAACUGGGAGAUAGCCCCGAGAAAUCGGGAUUAAUACCCCAUAAUAUCCAGUGAUUGCAUAUUCAUUGGAUUAAAGCUCCGGCGGUUAAAGAUGGGCAUGCGUGGCAUUAGCUAGUUGGUGAGGUAACGGCUCACCAAGGCAACGAUGCCUAGGGGUCCUGAGAGGGUUAACCCCCACACUGGUACUGAGACACGGACCAGACUCCUACGGGAGGCAGCAGUAAGGAAUAUUGGGCAAUGGACGCAAGUCUGACCCAGCCAUGCCGCGUGCAGGAUGACUGCCCUAUGGGUUGUAAACUGCUUUUGUACAGGAAAAAACUUCCGGUCGUGCACCGGGACUGAUGGUACUGUGCGAAUAAGCAUCGGCUAACUCCGUGCCAGCA